AUGUUAACGGGGGGAGGGGAGGGGGAGGGGGCGGCGGGGGCGGGAGGGGGAAGGGGCCGGCGGGAGCUGCUCUCGGCUCGGCGGCCGCCGCGCCCGCAGUCUGGAGGCGCACCGGAGCGGCCGGGGCGCCCCCCGCGGGAGCCCGCAGCCCCCCGGGGCGCGCAUCCAGCCGCGGCUGCUCCGGCCCCGCGCGCCGCGCCCCGGGGCUCGGCGGACCCCGCGCCGCCGCCGCUCCCGAGCUGGUGCGAGCGGGCUGGCCGGCGGGGCGGCGAGGGCCCGGCCCGCCUCCCCAGCGCCCGCCCCGGCUUCUCCCCCUGGCGGCGGAGGAGCCUCGGCGGCCGCCGGCUGCACGGAGCGCUGGAGCCCGAGCCGAGCCGAGCCCGAGCCCCAGCCCGAGCCGCCGCCGCCGCCGCCGCCGCCGCCGCCGCCGCCGCCAACGCCGCGCUCGGCUCCCAGGCUCCCUCCCCGCGCGCCGGCCGGGGUGUGGGGGGCGGCGGGCCGGAGGGACGAGGGCGGGCGAGAGGCGCGCGCCGGGAUUGGCGCCGAAGACCGGACCCUCAGCCGCUGGGGGAUGUUGUAGGUCUCUGCUCUUGUAAGACUUUGGCUGCAGAAUCCCGGGAUAAGCCCUCCUAGGCAUGUUCUGUUAUACACAAUACCACUUGUUAAGAGAGAUUCACUGUCUAAGUGACAGGCCAGCAUUUCACAAUUAGUGAUGACUGGUCACAUGGUAUUAGUGAAAUUCCUUUCCCCUUUUGCAAUGGAUCAAAAGAUUCAACAAAUGGUGAAUCAAUGACAAGGCAAUAAUAAGGUGAGAGAUUAUGUUACUAAAAGAUGACCUCAAGAUUAUUACUACAAUGAAUUCAUUUCUUAUGUAGAAAAGUGCUGGACAAUUUAUUAUUGUUAUAGUAAAACUGGAGGUGAUUUCAUGUGUUCAUAAUUGCCACAUGAGGUUAAAUAGAAUUGGGUAUGGUCCCCUCUCUAACAUGCCACCGGUGUCUGAAUUUGGGGGAAUUGUUAAACAGUUGGGGGCUUCAGUAUCUCCAGUUGAAAACAGGAGCAAUAGUAUUUAUCUGGUAGGUUAUGAAGGCAAAAUGUCAUAACACAAAACACCUGACACCCUGCAAUCAC
Molecule: long non-coding RNA, 1128 nt
Filed under: Canis lupus familiaris (dog)
Lineage: Eukaryota; Metazoa; Chordata; Mammalia; Carnivora; Canidae
Description: lncRNA (ENSCAFG00040022951.1)
Source: RNAcentral